RNAcentral lists this ribosomal RNA (484 nucleotides) under uncultured bacterium. RNAcentral describes it as "partial 16S ribosomal RNA". It matches the Rfam family "Bacterial small subunit ribosomal RNA", at positions 30 to 507 of the family's 1533-position model. The record is from RNAcentral.
AUUGAACGCUGGCGGCAGGCCUAACACAUGCAAGUCGAGCGGAUGAAGGGAGCUUGCUCCUGGAUUCAGCGGCGGACGGGUGAGUAAUGCCUAGGAAUCUGCCUGGUAGUGGGGGAUAACGUCCGGACACGGGCGCUAAUAUCGCAUACGUCCUGAGGGAGAAAGUGGGGGAUCUUCGGACCUCACGCUAUCAGAUGAGCCUAGGUCGGAUUAGCUAGUUGGUGGGGUAAAGGCCUACCAAGGCGACGAUCCGUAACUGGUCUGAGAGGAUGAUCAGUCACACUGGAACUGAGACACGGUCCAGACUCCUACGGGAGGCAGCAGUAGGGAAUAUUGGACAAUGGGCGAAAGCCUGAUCCAGCCAUGCCGCGUGUGUGAAGAAGGUCUUCGGAUUGUAAAGCACUUUAAGUUGGGAGGAAGGGCAGUAAGUUAAUACCUUGCUGUUUUGACGUUACCAACAGAAUAAGCACCGGCUAACUUCGUG